This 490-nucleotide ribosomal RNA is filed under the name uncultured bacterium. Its description in RNAcentral is "partial 16S ribosomal RNA". It matches the Rfam family "Bacterial small subunit ribosomal RNA", at positions 30 to 507 of the family's 1533-position model. The record is from RNAcentral.
AUUGAACGCUGGCGGCAGGCCUAACACAUGCAAGUCGAACGGUAACAGGAAGAAGCUUGCUUCUUUGCUGACGAGUGGCGGACGGGUGAGUAAUGUCUGGGAAACUGCCUGAUGGAGGGGGAUAACUACUGGAAACGGUAGCUAAUACCGCAUAACGUCGCAAGACCAAAGAGGGGGACCUUCGGGCCUCUUGCCAUCGGAUGUGCCCAGAUGGGAUUAGCUAGUAGGUGGGGUAACGGCUCACCUAGGCGACGAUCCCUAGCUGGUCUGAGAGGAUGACCAGCCACACUGGAACUGAGACACGGUCCAGACUCCUACGGGAGGCAGCAGUGGGGAAUAUUGCACAAUGGGCGCAAGCCUGAUGGAGCCAUGCCGCGUGUAUGAAGAAGGCCUUCGGGUUGUAAAGUACUUUCAGCGGGGAGGAAGGGAGUAAAGUUAAUACCUUUGCUCAUUGACGUUACCCGCAGAAGAAGCACCGGCUAACUCCGUG